AGCUAUUUAGUUUAUCUAAAAAUUUUUGUUUGUGGUACAAAAGAAAUAAUUGGCUAU
RNAcentral lists this transfer RNA (57 nucleotides) under Macropostrongyloides woodi. RNAcentral describes it as "tRNA-His". The record is from RNAcentral. Lineage: Eukaryota; Metazoa; Nematoda; Chromadorea; Rhabditida; Strongylidae.